This 93-nucleotide non-coding RNA is filed under the name Clostridium grantii. Its description in RNAcentral is "NiCo sequence". It matches the Rfam family "NiCo (Nickel/Cobalt) riboswitch aptamer". RNAcentral also lists the same sequence under 1 other name. The record is from RNAcentral. Lineage: Bacteria; Bacillati; Bacillota; Clostridia; Eubacteriales; Clostridiaceae.
AUUUAACAAAUAGAGCAGGCGAUACAUUUAUAUUUAAUGUGUGGGGCUGGGCCAGCAAUUACUGGCAGCAGGGAAAAUACCUGUGGGACUAUA